Molecule: long non-coding RNA, 1306 nt
Filed under: Lupinus angustifolius (narrow-leaved blue lupine)
Lineage: Eukaryota; Viridiplantae; Streptophyta; Magnoliopsida; Fabales; Fabaceae
Description: long non-coding RNA (LANG_LNC002865)
Source: RNAcentral
GGAGAGGGUGGAGGAGGAGACUUGUAAUAGUAUGGUGGAGCCUUGUUUUCAUGUGGUGGUGGAGGUGGUGAUUUAUACACAUAAGGAGGUGGAGGUGAUGGUGAAGGAGGUGGUGGUGACUUGUACUCAUAAGGAGGUGGAGGUGAUGGUGAAGGAGGUGGUGGUGACUUGUACUCGUAAGGAGGUGGAGGUGAUGGUGAAGGAGGUGGUGGUGACUUGUAUUCAUAUGGAGGUGGAGGUGAGGGUGAAGGAGGUGGUGGUGACUUGUAUUCAUAAGGAGGUGGAGGUGAUGGUGAAGGAGGUGGUGGUGACUUGUACUCAUAAGGAGGUGGAGGUGAUGAUGAAGGUGGAGGUGGUGAUUUGUAUUCAUAAGAUGGUGACUUUUCCUCCUUAGGGGGUGGAGGUGGUGAUUUGUAUUCAUAAGAUGGUGACUUUUCCUCCUUAGGUGGUGGAGGUGGUGACUUGUACUCAUAAGGAGGUGGUGGUGAAGCAGAAGGUGGUGGAGGUGACUUGUACUCAUAAGGUGGUGGUGGAGAAGAGUAAAUGUAGCCAUCAGCAGCAACAGAAACCACAGCAGUGGAAAUCAAAACCAUGGCCAAUGCCAUGGCCAUUUGUGGCCUAAGGCGACCCCUUACAGGGUCGCUGAUCCUAACAAUCAUGGAUAGAAGGGAAAAGAGAAAGAAGAGGUUGGUGACAGUGAUGAUGAGUAAAGCUACAUAAAAGACUAGUAUACUUAUAGUGAAGGUGAGUCGUUAAGAGGAGCUGUCAUAAGGUGCAAAUUCAAAUAUCAAAUUGGUUUUGUUUUGAUUUUAACUUUUUAGAUUAUGUUUCCCCAGCUGGCUGUGACUUUUUUAAGCACUGAUGUACAUUUUUCCUCCAAAUGGCCAAAACUAGGCUCUAUUCAAAUUUCUAACUACUCAUUAAAAUAUAAAUCAGCAUUAUGAGAAUACUCAAUACAAGAUAUAGAACCACUCUAUUCUUUUAUCAUUUCCUUCUAGCUACCCUGCUGAGUUGCCUAUCUUGCGAAAAAGAAAUUCCAAAAUGCUUUUUCCAUUCUCUUUUUUUAGGAAAGGGAAGUAAAUAUUACAUUUUGCAUUAUAGAUCCAUGAGUGCUCAUGAUUAUUGUUGAAGUUCUUGAUGGCUGCUAUAGUAUUAGUAACCAUUUGGUCCAAUCCUUUUUUUGUGUUGGGAUGAAUACAUUUGGUUUUUCAUUAUCUCUCUCUGUACAUUUCGAACAUAACCUUUUUGGCAGUUUAUGAUAAAGAAUAAUCCAAUGUUCAAAAUUAUUUCCCUUAUUUUGCUACAG